This 429-nucleotide ribosomal RNA is filed under the name Pseudomonadota bacterium. Its description in RNAcentral is "Proteobacteria bacterium partial 16S ribosomal RNA". It matches the Rfam family "Bacterial small subunit ribosomal RNA", at positions 355 to 776 of the family's 1533-position model. Lineage: Bacteria; Pseudomonadati; Pseudomonadota. The record is from RNAcentral.
UGGGGAAUAUUGGACAAUGGGCGAAAGCCUGAUCCAGCCAUGCCGCGUGUGUGAAGAAGGUCUUCGGAUUGUAAAGCACUUUAAGUUGGGAGGAAGGGCAGUAAGCGAAUACCUUGCUGUUUUGACGUUACCGACAGAAUAAGCACCGGCUAACUCUGUGCCAGCAGCCGCGGUAAUACAGAGGGUGCAAGCGUUAAUCGGAAUUACUGGGCGUAAAGCGCGCGUAGGUGGUUCGUUAAGUUGAAUGUGAAAGCCCCGGGCUCAACCUGGGAACUGCAUCCAAAACUGGCGAGCUAGAGUAGGGCAGAGGGUGGUGGAAUUUCCUGUGUAGCGGUGAAAUGCGUAGAGAUCUGGAGGAAUACCGAUGGCGAAGGCAGCCAUCUGGCCUAAUACUGGCGCUGAGGUACGAAAGCAUGGGGAGCAAACAGG